This 301-nucleotide ribosomal RNA is filed under the name uncultured bacterium. Its description in RNAcentral is "partial 16S ribosomal RNA". It matches the Rfam family "Bacterial small subunit ribosomal RNA", at positions 509 to 807 of the family's 1533-position model. The record is from RNAcentral.
CAGUCGCCACGGGAAUACGGAGGGUGCGAGCGUUACUCGGAAUCACUGGGCGUAAAGGACGCGUAGGCGGAUUAUCAAGUCUCUUGUGAAAUCUAACGGCUUAACCGUUAAACUGCUUGGGAAACUGAUAAUCUAGAGUAAGGGAGAGGCAGAUGGAAUUCUUGGUGUAGGGGUAAAAUCCGUAGAUAUCAAGAAGAAUACCUAUUGCGAAGGCGAUCUGCUGGAACUUAACUGACGCUAAUGCGUGAAAGCGUGGGGAGCAAACAGGAUUAGAUACCCCCGUAGUCCCUGUCUCUUAUAC